Molecule: ribosomal RNA, 2941 nt
Organism: Oscillochloris trichoides
Lineage: Bacteria; Bacillati; Chloroflexota; Chloroflexia; Chloroflexales; Oscillochloridaceae
Rfam family: Bacterial large subunit ribosomal RNA
Source: Rfam
AGGGAAGACACCAUGAGCACACGACGGAUGCCAUGGCGCAACGUGCCGAUGAAGGACGGGGCACCGCUCCGAUAUGCUGCGGGGAGUCGCACGCAGGCUGUGAUCCGCAGAUCUCCGAAUGGGGCAACCCACCGCUUCGGCGGUACCACGUAAGUGGAGGGCACCCGGCCAACUGAAACAUCUCAGUAGCCGGAGGAAGAGAGAACGACACCCGUAGUAGUGGCGAACGAACCGGGUAAGAGCCUAAACCAGGCCGGUGUCAAGGGGCCACCGUUGCCGGUCUGGGGUUGUAGGGCCGAACACGGAUACUGGCCGGUAUCCACGUUUUCCUGAGUCAGCAGGCGAAGCGGUCUGGAAAGCCGCACCAGAGCGCGUGAGAGUCGCGUAGCCGCUGACGACCGAGACGGGUUCGGUACCUGAGUACGUCCGGGCACGAAGAACCUGGGCGGAAGCCAGGGGGACCACCCUCUAAGGCAAGCUACACGUUGCGACCGAUAGCGAACAGUACCGUGAGGGAACGGUGAAAAGUACCCCGGUGAGGGGAGUGAAAGAGACCCUGAAAUCGUGUGCUUGCAUGCCGUGGGAGGGCUAGGGCGUAAGUCAAGCCUGACCGCGUGCCUUUUGGAGUAUGAUCCGGCGAGUUACCUUCGGUGGCGCGGUUAAGGCAGAAACAGCUGGAGCCGCAGGGAAACCGAGUCUUCACGGGCGACAUCGUCGCCGGAGGUAGACGCGAAACCAUGUGAGCUACCCAUGGUCAGGCUGAAGCGUCCCUAACAGGACGUGGAGGGCCGCACCGGUGUGGGUUACAAACCGCUCGGAUGAACUGUGGGUAGGGGUGAAAUGCCAAUCGAACAUGGAGAUAGCUCGUUCUCCCCGAAAUGUAUUGAGGUACAGCCGCGGCUUAGUCGCCGUCGGAGGUAGAGCACUGUUGUUGUGCGGGGGCUUCACCGCUUACCAAGCGACGGCAAACUGCGAAUACCGACGCGCGAGCACCGCGAGUGAGACGGCGAGUGCGAAUAUCCGUCGUCGAGAGGGAAACAGCCCAGACCGCCAGCUAAGGCCCCCAAAUCACUACUCAGUGGGAAAGGUUGUGGUGCCGCGCAGACAACCAGGAGGUUGGCUUAGAAGCAGCCACCCUUAAAAGAGUGCGUAAUAGCUCACUGGUCGAGUAGCGCUGCGCCGAUGCUUCACCGGGGCAAAGUAGUGUGCCGACGCUGCGGGAGGAGUGAUCCUCGGUAGGGGAGCGUCGUUGGGGCAGAGAAGCCAGAACGGAAGUCCUGGUGGAGCGCCAACGAGUGCGAAUGCCGGAAUGAGUAACAGAGAAGUGGGGUCGCAACCCCCACCACCGCAAGCCCAAGGGUUCCGCCGCACGGGUACACCGCGGCGGGUGAGUCGGGCCUAAGGCGUAGCCGAAGGGCGAAGCCGAUGGACAAUCGGUUGAUAUUCCGAUACCGUGUUCUGGUCGUUUGACCAAUGCCGAAUGCUGGGGGGGAGUCGCCGCGGCGAGACGAGCGCCGUGUAAGCCGGUAGGGAGCGUUGGGAGGCAAAUCCCCUGACGCGCUGACCGAGAGGCAAUGCCGAGGCCACGGAGGAAUCCACGGCCAAGGGCGAGGCACCUGGACAGCCGAGAAAGGUCGGCUCGGGAGACCAGACAUGACCGUACCGCAAACCGACACAGGUGGGCUGGUCGAGGAGACCAAGGUGAACGAGUGAUCCCUAGUUAAGGAACUCGGCAAAUUGACCCCGUACCUUCGGAAGAAGGGGUGCUGCGUGUAGUGUGAAGCCCCUCGCGGGUGGAGCACGAGGCAGCCGCAGGGUCCAGGCCCGGGCGACUGGAUAACAGAACCACAGCUCCCUGCUCAAAGCGCAAGCUGACGUAUAGGGGGUGAUGCCUGCCCAGUGCCGGAAGGUUAAGGGGAGGGGUGCAAGCUCCGAACCGAAGCCCCGGUAAACGGCGGCUGUAACUAUAACAGUCCUAAGGUAGCGAAAUUCCUUGUCGGGUAAGUUCCGACCCGCACGAAAGGCAUCACGAUCUGGGCACUGUCUCAACUAGGGGCUCGGUGAAAUUGCAGUGGCCGUGAAGAUGCGGCCAACUCAGAGCGGGACAAAAAGACCCCGUGGAGCUUUACUACAACUUGCCAUCGGAUAGAUCGCUGCGAUGCGUAGGAUAGGUGGGAGGCAGAGAACCGGCCCUCGCGGGGGUCGGGGAGCCACUGGUGAAAUACCACUCUUCGUUGCGGUCCAUCCUCACCCGCAGGCCGCGGGGACGGUGGCUGGUGGGUAGUUUGACUGGGGCGGUCGCCUCCCAAAAGGUAACGGAGGCGCACAAAGGUACCCUCACGUGGGAUGGCCAUCCACGAGCGCGUGCAACGGCACAAGGGUGCUUGACUGCGAGACAGACAGGUCGAGCAGGGACGAAAGUCGGUCGUAGUGAUCCCACAGUGCUGUGUGGAAAGGCUGUGGCUUAACGGACAAAAGCUACCCCGGGGAUAACAGGCUCAGACCGCCCAAGAGUUCAUAUCGACGGCGGAGCGUGGCACCUCGAUGUCGGCUCGUCGCAUCCUGGGGCUGGAGUAGGUCCCAAGGGUUGGGCUGUUCGCCCAUUAAAGCGGCACGCGAGCUGGGUUCAGAACGUCGUGAGACAGUUCGGUCUCUAUCCGCUCUGAGCGCUUAGAGUAUUGCGAGGGGCUGGCCCUAGUACGAGAGGACCGGGCUGGACGAACCGCUGGUGGAGGAGUUGUGGGGCGUCCUGCAGGCUCCGUAGCUAUGUUCGGAAACAAGAACCGCUGAAAGCAUCUAAGUGGGAAAUGUGCCUCAAGAUGAGUACUCUCGCAGCUAUAGGCUGGUAAGACUCCCAGGAGAUGACUGGGGUACGCAGCGAGCACUGGACGCGUCGCGAGGCGUGGAGGUGACUCGAGUGCAGAGUCGAGGGCUUCCCUCC